This 250-nucleotide ribosomal RNA is filed under the name uncultured bacterium. RNAcentral describes it as "partial 16S ribosomal RNA". It matches the Rfam family "Bacterial small subunit ribosomal RNA", at positions 57 to 305 of the family's 1533-position model. The record is from RNAcentral.
GCAAGUCGAACGGAAACGAUGGGGGCUUGCUCCCAGGCGUCGAGUGGCGGACGGGUGAGGAAUGCAUAGGAAUCUGCCCAGUAGCGGGGGACAACUCGAGGAAACUCGAGCUAAUACCGCAUACGCCCUACGGGGGAAAGCGGGGGACCUUCGGGCCUCGCACUAUUGGAUGAGCCUAUGUCAGAUUAGCUUGUUGGUGGGGUAAUGGCCUACCAAGGCGACGAUCUGUAGCUGGUCUGAGAGGACGAUC